AAUGAACGCUGGCGGCAUGCCUAACACAUGCAAGUCGAACGAGACCUUCGGGUCUAGUGGCGCACGGGUGCGUAACGCGUGGGAACCUGCCCUUAGGUUCGGAAUAACUACCCGAAAGGGGUGCUAAUACCGGAUAAUGUCUUCGGACCAAAGAUUUAUCGCCUUUGGAUGGGCCCGCGUUGGAUUAGCUAGUUGGUAGGGUAAAAGCCUACCAAGGCGACGAUGCAUAGCUGGUCUGAGAGGAUGAUCAGCCACACUGGGACUGAGACAAGGCCCAGACUCCGGAGGGAGGCAGCAGCCGGGAAUCUUCCGCAAGGGGCGAGAGGGUAACGGAGCAAAGGCGCGGAAGUGAUGAAGGACUUCGGCGCGUAAAAUUAUGAUGUUAGGGGAGAAAAAAUGUUUAAUUACCUAGGCAGGUCUUGACGGUACCGGAUAAGAAAGCCCCGGCUAACUCCGUG
Molecule: ribosomal RNA, 458 nt
Filed under: uncultured bacterium
Lineage: Bacteria
Description: partial 16S ribosomal RNA
Rfam family: Bacterial small subunit ribosomal RNA
Source: RNAcentral